UUCGUAGGUGGCCAACUAAGUCAGACGUGAAAUCCCUCAGCUUAACUGGGGAACUGCGUCUGAGACUGGAUGGCUUGAGUGCAGGAGAGGAACGCGGAAUUCCAGGUGUAGCGGUGAAAUGCGUAGAUAUCUGGAGGAACACCGGUGGCGAAGGCGGCGUUCUGGACUGCAACUGACACUGAGGAACGAAAGCCAGGGAGCAAACG
RNAcentral lists this ribosomal RNA (206 nucleotides) under uncultured bacterium. Its description in RNAcentral is "partial 16S ribosomal RNA". It matches the Rfam family "Bacterial small subunit ribosomal RNA", at positions 568 to 774 of the family's 1533-position model. The record is from RNAcentral.